GACGAACGCUGGCGGCGUGCUUAACACAUGCAAGUCGAACGAAGAGCGAUGGAAGCUUGCUUCUAUCAAUCUUAGUGGCGCACGGGUGAGUAACGCGUAAUCAACCUGCCCUUCAGAGGGGGACAACAGUUGGAAACGACUGCUAAUACCGCAUACGAUCUAAUCUCGGCAUCGAGGAUAGAUGAAAGGUGGCCUCUACAUGUAAGCUAUCACUGAAGGAGGGGAUUGCGUCUGAUUAGCUAGUUGGACGGGUAACGGCCCACCAAGGCGAUGAUCAGUAGCCGGUCUGAGAGGAUGAACGGCCACAUUGGGACUGAGACACGGCCCAGACUCCUACGGGAGGCAGCAGUGGGGAAUCUUCCGCAAUGGACGAAAGUCUGACGGAGCAACGCCGCGUGAGGGAUGACGGCCUUCGGGUUGUAAAGCUCUGUUAAUCGGGACGAAAGGCCUUCUUGCGAAUAGUGAGAAGGAUUGACGGUACCGGAAUAGAAAGCCACGGCUAACUACGUG
RNAcentral lists this ribosomal RNA (510 nucleotides) under uncultured bacterium. RNAcentral describes it as "partial 16S ribosomal RNA". It matches the Rfam family "Bacterial small subunit ribosomal RNA", at positions 28 to 507 of the family's 1533-position model. The record is from RNAcentral.